Molecule: long non-coding RNA, 232 nt
Organism: Gekko japonicus
Lineage: Eukaryota; Metazoa; Chordata; Lepidosauria; Squamata; Gekkonidae
Exons: 3
Source: RefSeq, a predicted model, not a curated record
CUUGACCCAAAGAGGGAAUGACGCACUUACAGUAUCAGAGGCAUGAGCUGCAGCUGCUGCAGCGGUUGGAUUGCAAGCAGUCUGGAAGCACUUCAACACAGAACGGGUGGAGAUUCAACAGAGACUUGUGGGUGUGGCAAAUUCUGCCCCCUCCCACUCUGCACAGUCCGUGUUUCAGCCCUCCUCUUGAAGUGCAGCAUCGUGCCCAGCAAGCCCUUCCAAGUUCUCCCUA